CAGUCGAGCGAGCGGAACCACAGAUUUACUUCGGUAAUGACGUUGGGAAAGCGAGCGGCGGAUGGGUGAGUAACACGUGGGGAACCUGCCCCUAAGUCUGGGAUACCAUUUGGAAACAGGUGCUAAUACCGGAUAAUAAAGCGGAUCGCAUGAUCAGCUUUUGAAAGGCGGCGUAAGCUGUCGCUAAGGGAUGGCCCCGCGGUGCAUUAGCUAGUUGGUAAGGUAACGGCUUACCAAGGCGACGAUGCAUAGCCGAGUUGAGAGACUGAUCGGCCACAUUGGGACUGAGACACGGCCCAAACUCCUAUGGGAGGCAGCAGUAGGGAAUCUUCCACAAUGGACGCAAGUCUGAUGGAGCAACGCCGCGUGAGUGAAGAAGGUUUUCGGAUCGUAAAGCUCUGUUGUUGGUGAAGAAGGAUAGAGGUAGUAACUGGCCUUUAUUUGACGGUAAUCAACCAGAAAGUCACGGCUAACUACGUGCCAGCAGCCGCGGUAAUACGUAGGUGGCAAGCGUUGUCCGGAUUUAUUGGGCGUAAAGCGAGCGCAGGCGGAAAAAUAAGUCUAAUGUGAAAGCCCUCGGCUUAACCGAGGAACUGCAUCGGAAACUGUUUUUCUUGAGUGCAGAAGAGGAGAGUGGAACUCCAUGUGUAGCGGUGGAAUGCGUAGAUAUAUGGAAGAACACCAGUGGCGAAGGCGGCUCUCUGGUCUGCAACUGACGCUGAGGCUCGAAAGCAUGGGUAGCGAACAGGAUUAGAUACCCUGGUAGUCCAUGCCGUANACGAUGAGUGCUAAGUGUUGGGAGGUUUCCGCCUCUCAGUGCUGCAGCUAACGCAUUAAGCACUC
RNAcentral lists this ribosomal RNA (843 nucleotides) under uncultured bacterium. RNAcentral's name for it is "bacterial SSU rRNA". It matches the Rfam family "Bacterial small subunit ribosomal RNA", at positions 59 to 869 of the family's 1533-position model. The record is from RNAcentral.